This 479-nucleotide ribosomal RNA is filed under the name uncultured bacterium. Its description in RNAcentral is "partial 16S ribosomal RNA". It matches the Rfam family "Bacterial small subunit ribosomal RNA", at positions 28 to 507 of the family's 1533-position model. The record is from RNAcentral.
GAUGAACGCUGGCGGCGUGCUUAACACAUGCAAGUCGAACGAAGCACUUUAACCUGAUUCUUCGGAUGAAGGUUUUUGUGCCUGAGUGUCGGACGGGUGAGUAACGCGUGGGUAACCUGCCUCAUACAGGGGGAUAACAGUUAGAACUGACUGCUAAUACCGCAUAAGACCACAGAGCCGCAUGGCUCGGUAGGAAAAACUCCGGUGGGAUGAUAUGGACCCGCGUCUGAUUAGGUAGUUGGCGGGGUAACGGCCCACCAAGCCAACGACCAGUAGCCGAGCUGGGAGCGUGACCGGGAACAUUGGGGCUGGGACCAGUAGCAAACCCCCGGGGAUGGGAGCAAUGGGGAACAAGGCACGAUGCGGGAAAGACGGAGGCAGCCACGUCGCGUGGGUGUGGAAGUAGUGCGGUAUGUAAAUCUGUAUGAGCAGGGAAGACAAUGACGGUACCUGACCAAGAAGCACCGGCUAAAUACGUG